UACGUAGGGUGCGAGCGUUGUCCGGAAUUAUUGGGCGUAAAGAGCUCGUAGGCGGUGUGUCGCGUCGGCCGUGAAAACCUGGGGCUCAACUCUGGGCGUGCGGUCGAUACGGGCAUCACUUGAGUUCGGCAGGGGAGACUGGAAUUCCUGGUGUAGCGGUGAAAUGCGCGGAUAUCAGGAGGAACACCGGUGGCGAAGGCGGGUCUCUGGGCCGAUACUGACGCUGAGGAGCGAAAGCAUGGGUAGCGAACAGG
Molecule: ribosomal RNA, 254 nt
Filed under: uncultured bacterium
Lineage: Bacteria
Description: partial 16S ribosomal RNA
Rfam family: Bacterial small subunit ribosomal RNA
Source: RNAcentral